Molecule: ribosomal RNA, 710 nt
Filed under: uncultured bacterium
Lineage: Bacteria
Description: bacterial SSU rRNA
Rfam family: Bacterial small subunit ribosomal RNA
Source: RNAcentral
AGGGGCAUCGGGAGGGAAGCUUGCUUUCCUUGCCGGCGACCGGCGCACGGGUGAGUAACACGUAUGCAACCUGCCCUCUUCAGGGGGACAACCUUCCGAAAGGGAGGCUAAUCCCGUGUAUAUCGGUUUCGGGCAUCCGAGAUCGAGGAAAGAUUCAUCGGAAGAGGAUGGGCAUGCGGCGCAUUAGCUAGACGGCGGGGUAACGGCCCACCGUGGCGACGAUGCGUAGGGGUUCUGAGAGGAAGGUCCCCCACACUGGUACUGAGACACGGACCAGACUCCUACGGGAGGCAGCAGUGAGGAAUAUUGGUCAAUGGGAGAGAUCCUGAACCAGCCAAGCCGCGUGAGGGAAGACGGCCCUAUGGGUUGUAAACCUCUUUUGUCGGAGAACAAAACCCGGGACGAGUCCCGGACUGCGUGUAUCCGAAGAAAAAGCAUCGGCUAACUCCGUGCCAGCAGCCGCGGUAAUACGGAGGAUGCGAGCGUUAUCCGGAUUUAUUGGGUUUAAAGGGUGCGUAGGCGGUCCGUUAAGUCAGCGGUAAAAUUGCGGGGCUCAACCCCGUCGAGCCGUUGAAACUGGCAGACUUGAGUUGGCGAGAAGUACGCGGAAUGCGCGGUGUAGCGGUGAAAUGCAUAGAUAUCGCGAGGAACUCCGAUUGCGAAGGCAGCGUACCGGCGCCAGACUGACGCUGAGGCACGAAAGCGUGGGG